GACGAACGCUGGCGGCGUGCUUAACACAUGCCAGUCGAACGGUGAAGCUCCAGCUUGCUGGAGUGGAUCAGUGGCGAACGGGUGAGUAACACGUGAGCAACCUGCCCCUGACUCUGGAAUAAGCGCUGGAAACGGCGUCUAAUACUGGAUACGAGAAGGGUCCGCAUGGGCACUUUCUGGAAAGUUUUUCGGUUGGGGAUGGGCUCGCGGCCUAUCAGCUUGUUGGUGAGGUAAUGGCUCACCAAGGCGACGACGGGUAGCCGGCCUGAGAGGGCGACCGGACACGCUGGGACUGAGACACGGCACAGACUCCUACGGGAGGCAGCAGUGGAGAAUAUUGCACAAUGGGCGAAAGCCUGAUGCAGCGACGCCGCGUGGGGGAUGACGGCCUUCGGGUUGUAAACCUCUUUCAGCAGGGAAGAAGCGAAAGUGACGGUACCUGCAGAAGAAGCUCCGGCUAACUACGUG
RNAcentral lists this ribosomal RNA (468 nucleotides) under uncultured bacterium. Its description in RNAcentral is "partial 16S ribosomal RNA". It matches the Rfam family "Bacterial small subunit ribosomal RNA", at positions 28 to 507 of the family's 1533-position model. The record is from RNAcentral.